AGAUAAUAGAUACCCUGGUAGUCCUAGCCGUAAACGAUGGGCACUGGGUAGGGGCGUCGCCGAUGGGCGUCUCUGCCGUAGGGAAAAACCGGUAGAAGUGCCCCGCCUGGGGAGUAUGGUCGCAAGGCUGAAACUACAAAGGAAUUGACGGGGGCGUCACACAAGCGGUGGAGCAUGUGGCUUAAUUCGAGGCUACGCGAAGAACCUUAUCCUGGGCGUUGACAUGCAGGGAUUAGGGUGCGGAAACGCAUCUGACGCCGCAAGGUGGAACCUGUACAGGUGCUGCAUGGCUGUCGUCAGCUCGUGCCGUGAGGUGUUUGGGCUAAGUCCCGUAACGAGCGAAACCCCGUGUGACUAGUUGCCAGCACGUAACGGUGGGACUCUAGUCAGACCGCCGGCGUCAAGCCGGAGGAAGGCGGGGUACGACGUCAAGUCAUCAU
RNAcentral lists this ribosomal RNA (440 nucleotides) under uncultured bacterium. Its description in RNAcentral is "bacterial SSU rRNA". It matches the Rfam family "Bacterial small subunit ribosomal RNA", at positions 774 to 1196 of the family's 1533-position model. The record is from RNAcentral.